GGUCCCGCAGUUUCAGCUGCUGCUGCUGCAUUUGCUCUGCAUCCAGGUUCCGCUGGGCCUGCUCCAUGUCAGCUGAGGAGAAAAGCAAAGCGUGCCUGCCCCGGGCCAAAAGGUGAGAGGGGACAGAAGUGACGCUGGAGUCAGUGGGGAGUCUCCACCUCUGUGCAGGCUCACAGCACUGUCUUGUGUCAAGAGCCCUCGCCCUUACCGCAAAUGCCCAGGUCACGAGCCCAGGUCGGAAUGUCACCUCUUCUCCCCACGACACGGAGUCCAGCUCCUGCCAAAAGACCCCAGGGGGAGCAGCAUCAAAGUGCCCCUGUCACUGUGAGAAAAUGUAAGGUGACUUGUUCCUCCUGCCCUUCCUGCUCAGGUUUUUCCCUUUUAUUAGAGGUUUGGGAGGUGAGUCAGGAAGCUGCGGGGUGAGGAUGGAGCUGGGGAGGAAUCGGCAGCUAAGGAAAAGGCAAACCAGUUCCAGGCACAGGUGAAUCACUUGCUAGUGAAAAUACAUCUUAUUCUCUGGGAGGCAUGCGUGGAUGGGCUGGGAGUGAGCUGCAGCUUGACUCCAUCAGAAAACUGUGGAGUCAAGAAAAAAAAAAAAACAAGGCAAGGCAAGGCAAGGCUGCUUUUCCAGUAAAUGAGGUGAUACAUUGCAAGGGAGCAGCCUGCAGCCGGCAAAGCUCCAGCAGCCCGUGGUCCUGUGGCUCCCUUAAAAGGGGAGAUUUUAGCCUGGGACAGCGGGGAGACAGAAAAGCCAUAAACACCCUCAGAGGAAUGUGGCUGCCGAGAAACGGGAAUCUCCGCAUGCGAGGCGAGGUGGGGGGAGCCUGGAUGGGGUUUGCACCACCUCUCCAUGCCUGGAGCCCGCCGGUUCCUUGGCCAUGCCCUGUCCCG
Long non-coding RNA from Vidua macroura (Pin-tailed whydah), 891 nucleotides. RefSeq lists it as uncharacterized. Lineage: Eukaryota; Metazoa; Chordata; Aves; Passeriformes; Viduidae. The record is from RefSeq and is a predicted model, not a curated record. The transcript is spliced from 3 exons.